UGGGGAAUAUUGGACAAUGGGCGAAAGCCUGAUCCAGCCAUACCGCGUGUGUGAAGAAGGCCUUAUGGUUGUAAAGCACUUUAAGUGGGGAGGAAAAGCUUAUGGAUAACACCCAUAGGUUCUGACGUUACCCACAGAAUAAGCACCGGCUAACUCUGUGCCAGCAGCCGCGGUAAUACAGAGGGUGCAAGCGUUAAUCGGAAUUACUGGGCGUAAAGCGAGCGUAGGUGGUUUAUUAAGUCAGAUGUGAAAUCCCUGGGCUUAACCUAGGAACUGCAUCUGAUACUGAUAAACUAGAGUAGGUGAGAGGAAAGUAGAAUUCCAGGUGUAGCGGUGAAAUGCGUAGAGAUCUGGAGGAAUACCGAUGGCGAAGGCAGCUUUCUGGCAUCAUACUGACACUGAGGUUCGAAAGCGUGGGUAGCAAACAGGAUUAGAUACCCUGGUAGUCCACGCCGUAAACGAUGUCUACCAGUCGUUGGGUCUUUUAAAGGCUUAGUGACGCAGUUAACGCGAUAAGUAGACCGCCUGGGGAGUACGGCCGCAAGGUUA
Molecule: ribosomal RNA, 549 nt
Filed under: uncultured bacterium
Lineage: Bacteria
Description: bacterial SSU rRNA
Rfam family: Bacterial small subunit ribosomal RNA
Source: RNAcentral